Molecule: ribosomal RNA, 254 nt
Filed under: uncultured bacterium
Lineage: Bacteria
Description: partial 16S ribosomal RNA
Rfam family: Bacterial small subunit ribosomal RNA
Source: RNAcentral
UACGGGGGGAGCAAGCGUUGUUCGGAUUUACUGGGCGUAAAGGGCGCGUAGGCGGUCGUGACAAGUCACUUGUGAAAUCUCCGGGCUUAACUCGGAACGGUCAAGUGAUACUGUCGGACUAGAGUACAGAAGGGGCAACUGGAAUUCUCGGUGUAGCGGUGAAAUGCGCAGAUAUCGGGAGGAACACCCGUAGCGAAGGCGGCACUCUGGGCCGGAACUGACGCUGAGGAGCGAAAGCGUGGGGAGCAAACAGG